CCCACAAACUGUGAGAUCGUGACCUGAGCUGAAGCCUGGUGCUUAACAGACUGAGCCACCCAGGCACUCCUGAUUUAUGUUUUUUAAAGCGCUAACUACUUCUCACUUUUCCCGUUACCCUGUGGCCAUUCUCCUUCCUGCCUUUUGUGCUUUAGUUCAUGUCAAUUUCUCUUUCUACAGUACCCGCCCCCUUCUCCAUCCCAUAGCAAUCACUCCUUCUUCUGAGCUCGUGGCAUUUGCUGGGAUCUUAAUCACACUCUGCCCCAUGACAUGGCACGCUAUUAUUAUCUCCUUCAUGUUAGUUAAUUAAUUCAACAAGCAUGCAUCGAACAGCUGCUACACGUCAGGCACUGUGCUAAGUCUUAGAGACACAGAGAUGAUUAGAGCAGGUUCUCUACUCCCAAGCAGCCUGGAGUCAGGGGUGGGGGGGACAGCUAUAUAAACAAAUCACUGGGGGCCUUGUGGUAGCCCAGUGAUAAGCAUGGCAGGGUUUUUAUUACAUCCAAGAUAAGGGGUCCCAAGCCAACGGGGGAGGGUAGACUGCCUGGGAUGGGGCGUGGGGUUAUGGGAGACUUCCUGGGUGGACAGAGGUUAGAACCCACUCUCCAAGGCUGACUGGGAGUGAGGGGUGAAGGGGUCGGGUGAGAGGGGUCAGGGUCAGUAAAGGCAUGGCAGCAGAAACAGAAAGGUGAGACACCACAAGCAGUUCAUUGUUGAUGGCAUUUAGUGGGAGGCUGAGAAGAGCAGGAGAGAAGGCCAGAAAAACAGGAGCAAAAUACAACACAAACCCAACAAUAUAACCUCCAGGAUGCCCAUCUUCUACUGGAAGGAAUUCCUGGAGCCAAACUGGGAAAAGAGUACCAGAGUGGGACACAGGAAGGCAGAGGUGGUCUUCAUUUCUUUCUUCACUGAAAUACCACACUGGGGAUGCCAUAGUGAGCAAAACUGACCAAAUCUCUUGCUGUCAAGAAACCUGUGGAAGAAUGGCUGGCGGCCAGCCCAAUAAUCCUGUGUGAUAAAUACUAGGUGCUGUGGGAGCACUUAGGAAAGAGCCGUGACCCAGCCUCAGGGAAGGCUUCCUAGAGGCAGUGUCCUCUGGUCAGUUGGGCUUCAUGGGGUUGAAAGGGUAGGGAGUGAGACAGGCGUGCGCGGAGAAGGAUUGCCGUGGGCUACCCUUUCCCCUGAGCCCCCCAGCCUCUAGGCCCAAGAAACCGAGCUGCAGGCCCAGGCUGGAGCAAGGGGGUGGAAGGUGGCAUGGAGAAGCCUGCGCAGAAAUCCUGGCCGUUCUGUGGGCUUCGGCCAUCUCCUGGAACACGGGCCUGUUUUGCAAACACAGCAAGUUAGGCCAACUAUGGUGAGGUUUGGCCCUGGCUCGGCCAACCCAGCUCAUUAAGCAAACAGCAAGAGAUUUUUUUCCUUUUUCUCCCUAAACUAAAUCUUCUCUGGGUGCAUAAUUUAUACAGCUCCAGCGAACUGCAGUCUGGCUUUCUUCCCAAGAAAGAAAAACAUCUCCUCAGAUUUUCCACACACCCUCCCCAUCCUGCUGGCCGAAUGCCAAGACUUCCCAGCAAGGCCGGGGCAGGGCUGCUCCGGGGAAGGGCAGGGAUGUGUUGCUGUUGCAGGGGCCGCAGGGCCGCCCUUUCAGGGGUAGCGGUAGUGGUGCAGGCAGGUGUUUUGUACAGGAGUGGGCGGUGGGCAACAGGUGUGCGGCCCGGGGUGGGCAGGAAGCUGUGCAGACAGCUGUGCUGCUGGGAACCACUCUAGGACCAGCAGACCCAGGAAUAGCUCAUCUGUGUUUACAAAGCACCUUCUCACCUCCUUUGAGUCACCCAACAAGUACACGAGGAGAGUAGGACACACAUAAUUACUAUCCCCAUGUAAUUGAUGAGUUGCUAACAGAAAGGACCGGGCAAUUUAAAAUUAGCCUGACUCAAGUUAGAAUCCCACCUCUGCCAUGGGGUGACCUCAGGCAGGUUGCAAAAAUUCUUGCAGCCUCAUCUAUUAGGGAUAAUGUUAGCACUUUCCCCCAAGGGCUUGUGCUGCGGGUUAAAUGAGAUCCCAUACGUGAGGAGCCCUCUCCAUGCCUGGUCCCUAGCAGAUGCUCCCUUGUUCCCAUAUUAAUGGCCGAAGAGGUUUCCCAACUCCUGUGGGCACUGCUGGGCCUGGGCCCAAGUGUUCUCCCAGCACAGCCCCUUCUGUUGCCGCAGUCAGCCGUGUGCCCACCGGGCCAGUCCGUCCCCACGCAGAGGCUGCACGCUCUGUGAGGCUGCCUGUUCAUCCCUGGCUCUGAGAUCUUGGCAGAUAGCUGAGCGGUCCUUAAGUCCAAAUGCCUGCCAUGCUCUGUGGGAGCAAGCAGCUCUAGAAACUGCAUAGCUGGUGAAACUUAAGCUUUGGAACAUGAACCCUGGCCCACAAUCCGCCUGUUUCCUCUUAUAGUCAAGGGCGAGCAUCCAAAUCCCCUGUCAUUUAUCAUUGUCACUACUGCUCAGAAAGGUCAGUGUGCAUUCUCGGUUGCCUCCAGCCCCUGGGCUCAGAGCAGUGAUUCCGACUUGGAGGCGCUGAGCCUCACAUGCAGGAGGCACUUGUGAAUGUUUGCAGAGGAGUCGUCAGGUCAUGCCCGUAUGCAGACAUGCCAUCGCAGCCUGUGUGAAAGCAGCAUUUCCUCAUCGGGGCCCGCUCCGUGGCUCCUGUGUUAUACACCCGGAGUGUCUCCUCAGCGAAUACUCUACAACUUUUGUUGACUAUUCCCUCUUCUCAGCACCCUCUUCCCCCAUGGCUGGUUCUUCUCAUUCAGAUCUUUGCCUAAGUGUGGCUUCCUCAGGGGCCUUGUCUGACUAUCCCAAAGAAAGGGACUCUCCUCUACCCCACCCAAGGCACUGUCUUUCUCAUCACUGUUCAUUAUUUUUUUCAUGGCACUCUUCACUGUCUGAAGUUAUUUAUUCAUUGCCUUUGUGACUAGAAUAGAAGGUCCAUGAGAGCAGGACAGAGUCUGGCUUGGUCUUGUGGUAUCCCCAGGGAUUGGCAGAUAGCAAGAGCCCAGUAGUUAUUGAAUGGGUAAAUGAAGCAAGCUUGAGAUCAUGGGCUCUAACGUCUUCAUUUUGCAGAAGAGAAAACCAAGGCCCAGAAGGGUUAAGAUGCUCAAUUUGCUUGUGUAAGACACCCCUGCUUUUUCUCCAGUAGCUUCUUCCUCAAUUCUCAAGGGUCUCUGGAACGAACAUAUGGUAAUGGUCUGCCUUUCUGUUUGGGACUCUUUCUUGUCUCUCAAGAGUGACAGAGCCAAAAAUAUCUGAUGUGUGCCCUUAUGAGCCAAAGGAUAGUUUGCUCCCUUGGGCUGAAAACGGAAAACACACAGAUGCACAUACAAAUACCCUGAAAAGAAAUUAAAAUGGGCUAACACGUGGGUAAGGAAUGUUCAUAUAAAACGAUGCCAUCCUGUUGGGUGUCAGCUAGCCAGGGAAACACCAUAACUGGGUCAUAGUUAUUGAUGUCAGAGGAGAAAUUCCCCCUCCAGAUUCUGAAGGAAGAAUCAGGGGGCACAGGAGGAGUCCGUGUGGAGUAGUGGGAUGAAUAUCCUCCUCACUGAGUAAUUUGAAGAUUAAGUCUGAAGAGGCGUGUAAAGAGUCCAGCAUAAUACCUGCUCAGUCAGGGGGUAGUUCUGACACCAUCCCCAAAGAUGGAUUAUUCUAGCUGAGGACUCACUUACUUCCAUGUCUCCCGGUCUCCCACUGAUUUUCUCAUAUUUGUCCCACGGGAGAUGACAGGAGAUGACUCACACCAAGGAGCAUAAUGAACCAGUGUUCUAUCUCUGGUAAAAGGUUAUGCAGAGCGGGUCUAUGCCUGGCAGAUGUGAUCACACGUAUUUUGGAAGCUGGGAGAACCGAAGAGCAAAGAGGUUACAAAAAGCAACACUCCGACAGGAGACCAAUUCAACAAGUCAAAGGAAGGACUGGGGCUGUGGUGGCCAAGUGAUGAUCAGACACACCCAACAACAGCACAGUAAGUCCCUUUGUUGUGAGGAAGCAGCAGCAGCAGCAAGAGAGCCAGAAUACAAGCCACUUUCUUUAAUAUUCCGAAGGCGUUCCCAGUGUCUCCCAGAGUCCUCAUUAAUUACCUGGAGAAUUACCAAGGAAUUCUCAGACGGGAUGAGAGCCUCCUUCCACUGCCUCUCACCACACCUCAUGACACCUAGAUGACAGAAGAGCUGCACUUGAUGAGAAGAGGAAACGGAGCCUGGGCACAGAAACAGAAGAGCUUUGGCCUGUGAGAUUUCUAAAUCACAGGCAUGGCUUGCCCUCUUGCAAGUAGAGGCAAAAGACGUCAGCCUUAUUGGCAGUCCCGGGCACGCAGCUUUGGGAUCGGAAUAAUAACGGUUUUCAAGGCAUGGGGAGUAGCCGAGGGUGGCCUUUUGGUGCAUGGAGGGGUGAGAGGCCAGGUCCAGGCUGGGCCAAGCACGGUGCCAGGGAAGGAGGGCUGUGAAUGCUGGUUGUUUAUUUUUUUAUUCCAUGCAAACUGCUCACUUGUUAGCAUCGGUACUGCGACAUAACAGUUUCCAGUAAAUACACUGAGCUGCACGGAGGUGGCAGAACAAGGGAGGCUCAGAUGUACAAGCAGAUGGUUCUUAUUACUUCCAGUCGUUCUUGUCGUAGUCCCACUGGGCUGGGAAGCCCUGAAUCGGGCUGACCUUCACGUCGAGCAUCCUCUGAGUCUGCUUGGGCACGCUCUCCCCUUAAAAGGUGUGCAGGAGGGACGCUACAGGCAGCGCUUCUCCUCAAGAAGCGGGACUCCCCUCAAGAACACGGCCGCGCCCACAGCCGCCUCGCGCGCCUGCGCACUCCCGUUCGCGUCCGCAAAGCUCGGGCUGAAAUUCAUGCGGCCCAGUUCCACAUUCUCAUCGAUGGAGAGGCUGCUCGAGGGGGUCUCCUUUUAUUUCAAGGCCUUCUGGCUGGCGGAGAGAUCUUGAUGUGGGCCGCGUUAGGCAAGGGAUAGUGGCGCUGGUGGACAUAACCGGGGAGAGCAUAGUCUUCACGCUUCACGCUUCCAGGUGCUCGCACACGCACGGAGGUGGGAAGAGCUCGCUUGCAGAUUAGAAUAAUUACUCUGGUCGCCAACAUUCUUGCCGCUGCCCACUCCCCACCUCCCAACCCCCCAGCCUCCAGCAAAGCCCACCUCCCUUACCCCCUGCGCAGCCCGAAGAACGUGGUUACUUUAGACCUGGAACCAGGAAGUGCUGGCCUUAAAGCUAGAGUAACAGGAUCACAGGGAAGCAUCUUACAAAUACAGAAUCCUAGCGUUUAAGUCAUGUUCCCUGGAGUUCUCAAGAUUCUAUGUGAACAUGUUUCAAGGACUGCUGUUUCCUGUGAUGUAUAAUGGGAUGUGAGGCUUGGUCCUUCAUCCCCCCAUUUUAGCAUCACGUCGUAUCUAUUUUAUACACUGGGAUGCUGAAUACUAUUUCUGUAAAGGGUUGUGUACUUAAAAGCUGUUCUUUUUUAGGGGCGCCUGGGUGGUUCAGUCAGUUGAGCAUCCGACUCUUGAUUUCCGCGGAGGUCAUGAUCCCAGGGUGGUGGGAUCCAGAUCUGCAUUGAGCUUGGCAUUGAGCGUGGAGACUGCUUAAGAUUCCUGCCUCCCCCUCCCCGCCCCCGCCCCCGCC
Felis catus (domestic cat) is the source of this 5647-nucleotide long non-coding RNA. RefSeq lists it as uncharacterized. The transcript is spliced from 3 exons. NCBI's taxonomy places the organism in Eukaryota, Metazoa, Chordata, Mammalia, Carnivora, Felidae. The record is from RefSeq and is a predicted model, not a curated record.